RNAcentral lists this ribosomal RNA (498 nucleotides) under uncultured bacterium. Its description in RNAcentral is "bacterial SSU rRNA". It matches the Rfam family "Bacterial small subunit ribosomal RNA", at positions 29 to 518 of the family's 1533-position model. The record is from RNAcentral.
AUGAACGCUAGCGACAGGCUUAACACGAUGCAAGUCGAGGGGUAACAGGGUAGCAAUACCGCUGACGACCGGCGCACGGGUGAGUAACGCGUAUGCAACCUGCCUAUAACUGGGGAAUAGCUCCCUGAAAGGGGAAUUAACACCGCAUAACACUAUUGAUUCGCAUGGAUUGGUAGUUAAAUGUAGCGAUACAGGUUAUAGAUGGGCAUGCGUGACAUUAGCUAGUUGGUGAGGUAACGGCUCACCAAGGCUACGAUGUCUAGGGGUUCUGAGAGGAAGGUCCCCCACACUGGUACUGAGACACGGACCAGACUCCUACGGGAGGCAGCAGUGAGGAAUAUUGGUCAAUGGGCGCAAGCCUGAACCAGCCAUGUCGCGUGCAGGAAGACUGCCCCUAUGGGUUGUAAACUGCUUUUAUAGUAGAAGAAACACAUCUACGCGUAGAUGUCUGCCAGUAUACUAUGAAUAAGCAUCGGCUAACUCCGUGCCAGCAGCAGC